GAUUUUAAACGACAUAACUGGAAAUAUAGAUGCAAAGAAAGCUUGCACCGGGGCAAUGAAACUUCACAGGAAGUAUCUCAAAAAGGCAAAGAAAGUAUAGUUGUUGGGUAAAUGUGGUUGAAUGGAGUAAAUAAAUUAGCAGAAUUACCGAAGGAUAACCAUGCUCGAAGCAAACAGAAAUGUCUCAUAUACAAAUCAGCUUGGAAGACCACCAUUUUGCUAUUCUUCCACAGGCACCCAAUUGUUCAUUAUUG
Molecule: unclassified non-coding RNA, 254 nt
Filed under: Hevea brasiliensis (rubber tree)
Lineage: Eukaryota; Viridiplantae; Streptophyta; Magnoliopsida; Malpighiales; Euphorbiaceae
Source: RNAcentral